This 573-nucleotide ribosomal RNA is filed under the name Triticum aestivum (bread wheat). RNAcentral's name for it is "partial small subunit ribosomal RNA". Lineage: Eukaryota; Viridiplantae; Streptophyta; Magnoliopsida; Poales; Poaceae. The record is from RNAcentral.
AUGGGCUUCCGUGAUUUGCACCUAUUUAAUUUGGCACUGUUGGGAAAGCAUGGCUGGAGACUCAUGAACAAUCCAAAUUUCCUUUGUGCAAGAGUGUUAAAAGCAAGGUAUUUCCCGGACACUGAUUUUUUGCACACAACUGUACCAAAAUCUUCCUCGGCCACAUGGCGUGCAAUAGUGGCUGGCCGUGAUGCUCUUAACACUGGCUUGAUUAAGAGAGUGGGAGAUGGAUCCACCAUCUCCAUAUGGGAUGACAAGUGGAUUCCGGGCACUUUGUUGAUGCGGCCCCUACUGAAACCGGAGGGCACGCAGCUGCAGUUGAUGAGUGAGCUAAUUCACACAUAUAACUGGACUUGGCGUGCUGAUCUCAUUCGAGAUGUUUUCAUACCACCUGAUGAGGAUGCUAUCCUUAAUAUCCCAUUACAUAAUGGAGGUGGACAUGAUUUUUUUGGCCUGGGAUUUCGAGAAGUCAGGGAUGUAUUCUGUGAAAUCUUCGUACCGUGCUCUUGUGACUCAGAAAGAGCUUUCUGCUCCAGAGGAAGGGACGGCUACAAGCACUUCAUUGACAGAUAA